This 564-nucleotide ribosomal RNA is filed under the name Streptomyces sp. 306H12. RNAcentral's name for it is "bacterial SSU rRNA". It matches the Rfam family "Bacterial small subunit ribosomal RNA", at positions 93 to 671 of the family's 1533-position model. Lineage: Bacteria; Bacillati; Actinomycetota; Actinomycetes; Kitasatosporales; Streptomycetaceae. The record is from RNAcentral. RNAcentral also lists the same sequence under 1 other name.
UAGUGGCGAACGGGUGAGUAACACGUGGGCAAUCUGCCCUUCACUCUGGGACAAGCCCUGGAAACGGGGUCUAAUACCGGAUAAUACCUGCCUGGGCAUCUGGGUGGGUUGAAAGCUCCGGCGGUGAAGGAUGAGCCCGCGGCCUAUCAGCUUGUUGGUGAGGUAGUGGCUCACCAAGGCGACGACGGGUAGCCGGCCUGAGAGGGCGACCGGCCACACUGGGACUGAGACACGGCCCAGACUCCUACGGGAGGCAGCAGUGGGGAAUAUUGCACAAUGGGCGAAAGCCUGAUGCAGCGACGCCGCGUGAGGGAUGACGGCCUUCGGGUUGUAAACCUCUUUCAGCAGGGAAGAAGCGAGAGUGACGGUACCUGCAGAAGAAGCGCCGGCUAACUACGUGCCAGCAGCCGCGGUAAUACGUAGGGCGCAAGCGUUGUCCGGAAUUAUUGGGCGUAAAGAGCUCGUAGGCGGCUUGUCACGUCGGGUGUGAAAGCCCGGGGCUUAACCCCGGGUCUGCAUUCGAUACGGGCUAGCUAGAGUGUGGNAGGGGAGAUCGGAAUUCCU